RNAcentral lists this long non-coding RNA (863 nucleotides) under Homo sapiens (human). RNAcentral describes it as "non-protein coding lnc-NPHS2-5:1". The record is from RNAcentral. Lineage: Eukaryota; Metazoa; Chordata; Mammalia; Primates; Hominidae.
AUGGUGCAGAAGAAAAUACAAAUCACAUGCAUAAUGGAUGAAAGGAACUGAGAGGCCACUUUUACAAAGAGAGAGUUUGGAUUAAUGAAGAAAGCCUAUGAACUUAGUGUGCUCUAUGACUGUGCAUUUUCAACAGCUCUAACAAACUCUUUCAAUAUGCUAGCACUGAUAUGGACAAAGUUCUUCUCAAGUAUACAGAAUAUAAUUAACCUUAUGAAAGCACAACCAGCUCAGAUAUUGUUGAGGCUCUGAACAAGAAGGAACACAGAGGGUGCGACAGCUCAGACCCUGAUACUUCAUGUGUGCUAACUCCAUAUACAGAAGAAAAAUAAUUAAUGAGGAAUUUGAUAAUAUGAUGCAGAAUCAUAACAUUGCACCUGGUUUGCCACCUCAGAAUUUUUCAAUGUCUGUCACAGUUCCAGUGAAAAGCCCCAAUGCUUUGUCCUACACUAACCCAGGGAGUUCACUGGUGUCACCAUCUUUGGCAGCCAGCUCAACGUUAACAGAUUUAAACACGCUCUCUCCACCUCAAACCAUAUUACAUAGAAAUGUGUCCCCUGGAGCUCCUCAGAGACCACCAAGUACUGGCAAUGCAGGUGGGAUGUUGGGCACUACAGACUUCACAGUGCCAAAUGGAACUGGAAGCAGCCCAGUGGGGAAUGAAUUUGUAAACUCAAGAGCUUCUCCAAAUUUGAUUGGAGCUACUGGUGCAAAUAGUUUAGGUAAAGUCAUGCCUACAAAGUCUCCCCCUCCACCAGGUGGCAGUAAUCUUGGAAUGAACAGUGGAAAACCAGAUCUUCGAGUUGUCAUCCCCGCUUCAAGCAAGGGCAUGACACCUCCACUAGUAAGUUGAACCUUUCUUC